UUGAAUAAAUUUGGAUUAGGUUGUUGCUGGUCCUGCGGGGCACUGUGCACGCCUCUUCCUAUAUUUACACCCACCUGUGCACUUUGUGUAGAUCUGAAUAACUUUCGAGAUUAACUCGGUCUGGGAAACUGCUGUGUAUUAAUGCGCGGCUUUUCUUCGCUUUCGGAUCUAUGUUUUCACUAUACUCCAUACAAAGUAUUUGAAUGUAACACAGGCUCUAUGUGCCUAUAAAAUAUACAAUACAACUUUCAACAACGGAUCUCUUGGCUCUCGCAUCGAU
RNAcentral lists this unclassified non-coding RNA (280 nucleotides) under Entoloma sarcitulum. RNAcentral describes it as "sequence contains ITS1 and 5.8S rRNA gene". Lineage: Eukaryota; Fungi; Basidiomycota; Agaricomycetes; Agaricales; Entolomataceae. The record is from RNAcentral.